Long non-coding RNA from Rattus norvegicus (Norway rat), 586 nucleotides. RefSeq lists it as uncharacterized. The record is from RefSeq and is a predicted model, not a curated record. Lineage: Eukaryota; Metazoa; Chordata; Mammalia; Rodentia; Muridae.
ACACAAACAGUAAUCAAGGGAAGAAUGCCUGCCCACUUCCUGACAACUAUUACUUAGAAUUUCAGGCCAAGUGCUUGGGAGUCCAACUCCAUACACCAGAGAUGGUGAGGCAAGAUAAGCCCAAGCCAUUUAGUCUGCAUUUUGAAGCUGGGAGACUCGCUUUUUUAAAUGCUUAGAAGAGUGGAAUAAGCUAACAGUAUCAGGAAACAGAUUUUUAAACAUCAGAGGAAUGCCCUCAGCUGGUGUCUGCCAUCAGUAAUAACAAUCCAUGCUCUUCUGCUUUGGAGACCAAGCCUGGCCUGCAACACAGGACUGUGGGCUUCUAUCCUAUCUUCCUGGCUGGAAACCACACUUCGUUCCUGCUCCUUCUGCCUUUAUUAUGGAAACUAGUUCCCCAGGACUAUGCUCCGAAAGAGAAAGAAUUGGGUGGAGAUCUGGGCCGGGGAGAGGCCCGUGAUGAGAGGUACAGCAUAGCAUUGCUCUUGAUCCGUAGAAUGUGUGUCUGGAAGGCAGCAGUAUUUAAUUUUUUUGUGAAACUGGCCAAAGGUCUACAAAUUAAAAAUAUAACUAUAGAAAAUCAGAAUGA